AUUGAACGCUGGCGGCAUGCUUUACACAUGCAAGUCGAACGGUAACAGGCCUUCGGGUGCUGACGAGUGGCGAACGGGUGCGUAAUGCAUCGGAACGUGCCCAGAGGUGGGGGAUAACGCAGCGAAAGCUGUGCUAAUACCGCAUGUGAUCUGAGGAUGAAAGCGGGGGACCAAGCAGCAAUGUUUGGCCUCGCGCCUCUGGAGCGGCCGAUGUCAGAUUAGGUAGUUGGUGGGGUAAAGGCCUACCAAGCCGACGAUCUGUAGCUGGUCUGAGAGGACGACCAGCCACACUGGGACUGAGACACGGCCCAGACUCCUACGGGAGGCAGCAGUGGGGAAUUUUGGACAAUGGGCGCAAGCCUGAUCCAGCAAUGCCGCGUGAGGGAAGAAGGCCUUCGGGUUGUAAACCGCUUUUGUACGGAACGAAAAGGCUCUGGCUAAUACCUGGGGCUGAUGACGGUACCGUAAGAAUAAGCACCGGCUAACUACGUG
RNAcentral lists this ribosomal RNA (492 nucleotides) under uncultured bacterium. RNAcentral's name for it is "partial 16S ribosomal RNA". It matches the Rfam family "Bacterial small subunit ribosomal RNA", at positions 30 to 507 of the family's 1533-position model. The record is from RNAcentral.